AGAGUUUGAUCCUGGCUCAGAACGAACGCUGGCGGCGCGCCUAAUACAUGCAAGUCGAGCGAGAAGGUGUAGCAAUACACUUGUAAAGCGGCGAACGGGUGAGGAAUACAUGGGUAAUCUACCAUCGAGUGGGGAAUAACCAACCGAAAGGUUGGCUAAUACCGCGUACGCUUCCGAGUCUUCGGGUUUGGAAGGAAAGCCGUGCUGUGAGUACGGCGCUCUUUGAUGAGCUCAUGUCCUAUCAGCUUGUUGGUAGGGUAACGGCCUACCAAGGCUUUGACGGGUAGCUGGUCUGAGAGGACGAUCAGCCACACUGGCACUGCGACACGGGCCAGACUCCUACGGGAGGCAGCAGUAAGGAAUAUUGCGCAAUGGGCGAAAGCCUGACGCAGCGACGCCGCGUGGGGGAUGAAGGUCUUCGGAUUGUAAACCCCUUUCGGGAGGGAAGAUGGAGCGAGCAAUCGUUCGGACGGUACCUCCAGAAGCAGCCACGGCCAACUUCGUGCCAGCAGCCGCGGUAAUACGAAGGUGGCAAGCGUUGUUCGGAUUCACUGGGCGUACAGGGUGUGUAGGCGGUUUGGUAAGCCUUCUGUUAAAGCUUCGGGC
This 606-nucleotide ribosomal RNA is filed under the name uncultured bacterium. Its description in RNAcentral is "bacterial SSU rRNA". It matches the Rfam family "Bacterial small subunit ribosomal RNA", at positions 8 to 608 of the family's 1533-position model. The record is from RNAcentral.